Non-coding RNA from Apis mellifera (honey bee), 88 nucleotides. The record is from RefSeq and is marked provisional. NCBI's taxonomy places the organism in Eukaryota, Metazoa, Arthropoda, Insecta, Hymenoptera, Apidae.
GGAUACGUUAACGAAUGGAGCGUUAAUGAUCGUGUUUCUAAAUUGUAUCAAUGACGAGAGUCACGAUUGCGUUGCGUUCUACGGUCUC